GACGAACGCUGGCGGCGUGCCUAAUACAUGCAAGUAGAACGCUGAAGGAGGAGCUUGCUCUUCUGGAUGAGUUGCGAACGGGUGAGUAACGCGUAGGUAACCUGCCUGGUAGCGGGGGAUAACUAUUGGAAACGAUAGCUAAUACCGCAUAAGAGUAGAUGUUGCAUGACAUUUACUUAAAAGGUGCAAUUGCAUCACUACCAGAUGGACCUGCGUUGUAUUAGCUAGUUGGUGGGGUAACGGCUUACCAAGGCGACGAUACAUAGCCGACCUGAGAGGGGGGUCGGCCACACUGGGACUGGGACACGGCCCAGACUCCUACGGGAGGCAGCAGUAGGGAAUCUUCGGCAAUGGACGGAAGUCUGACCGAGCAACGCCGCGUGAGUGAAGAAGGUUUUCGGAUCGUAAAGCUCUGUUGUAAGAGAAGAACGAGUGUGAGAGUGGAAAGUUCACACUGUGACGGUAUCUUACCAGAAAGGGACGGCUAACUACGUG
Molecule: ribosomal RNA, 495 nt
Filed under: uncultured bacterium
Lineage: Bacteria
Description: partial 16S ribosomal RNA
Rfam family: Bacterial small subunit ribosomal RNA
Source: RNAcentral